RNAcentral lists this ribosomal RNA (492 nucleotides) under uncultured bacterium. RNAcentral's name for it is "partial 16S ribosomal RNA". It matches the Rfam family "Bacterial small subunit ribosomal RNA", at positions 29 to 507 of the family's 1533-position model. The record is from RNAcentral.
AGUGAACGCUGGCGGUAGGCCUAACACAUGCAAGUCGAACGGCAGCACAGUAAGAGCUUGCUCUUACGGGUGGCGAGUGGCGGACGGGUGAGGAGUACAUCGGAAUCUACUUUUUCGUGGGGGAUAACGUAGGGAAACUUACGCUAAUACCGCAUACGACCUACGGGGGAAAGCAGGGGAUCUUCGGACCUUGCGCGAUUGAAUGAGCCGAUGUCGGAUUAGCUAGUUGGCGGGGUAAAGGCCCACCAAGGCGAGGAUCCGUAGCUGGUCUGAGAGGAUGAUCAGCCACACUGGAGCGUAGACAGGGACCAGACUACUACGGGAGGCAGCAGUGGGGAAUAUUGGACAAUGGGCGCGAGCCUGAUCCAGCCAUACGGCGUGGGUGAAGAAGGCCUUCGGGUUGUAAAGCCCUUUUGUUGGGAAAGAACCGCAGCAGGUUAAUACCCCGCUGGUCUGACGGUAACCAAAGAAUAAGCACCGGCUAACUUCGUG